Ursus americanus (American black bear) is the source of this 1730-nucleotide long non-coding RNA. Lineage: Eukaryota; Metazoa; Chordata; Mammalia; Carnivora; Ursidae. The record is from Ensembl.
GGCGCUGGCGGCGGCUCAGGGCCCGCGGCGGCGGCGGCCCGGCCUCGUGUCCGUGUCUAACCUCUGGUAUUGCGUGUUCUGGGCAGGGAAGCGAGGGCGUCGCAGCAGUGCGGGAUCGCUAGAGAGCAAUGUGGAAUUUCAGCCUUUCGAGCCACUGCAGCCGCCAGUGCUGUGCUCCUAAGCCGUGGGACCCGAGGACUGCCCCACGGCCCCUGCCCCUGCGGAGAGCCCUUUCAGAAAGGGCGAAGCUAGUGCGGGACUCUGCGGGCCGCGGGCUCCGCGCUCCGUGGAUGGCGUGGCGCGCCGUGGCAGACGGCAGGACGACCGAGGGGAGCCCACCUGGCCGGCCAGCCGGGGCAGGGGUCCUGCCCGUUUCCCUCCCCACCCACCCCUUUGUCAUAUCAUCAAGGCCACCAUACCAGCAAAUCUGCAAAGCAAGCACUUUGUUAAUCUCCACAGAAAGCAAAUACAGCAAUCUAGAGUUUAGCCUUUUUUUUUUUUUGGAAGAAGUGUGACUUUAACCUGCCCACCUUUAUCUUCCCAUCGGUGUCGUGUUUCUCUCCCGGGCAUCUGCCCGGAAGGAGAGAAGGAAGGAGCACGGGUGUGUCUGAUUUGGUCCAGGCCAGGCUGGCGGGAGGCUCCCCGCUCCCGCUGGCUCCUAAAUUCUUUGGUUUUCCUGCAGAGUCAGGCUCCCCGAGGCAUUCUCUGUCUUGCAGUUUCAAGGAUGUUGUUCUGACCAGGAAAAGUCGAAUUGUACCGCAUGCCACCCGGCGUCAGUCGUGCGAGGCCACACUCUAUGUGUUGUGUAUUUGCGGACUGUAUCAGUGUUGCUGUUGACAAAUAGUUAAGUAAAGUGAUAACGUAUGAGAUAUGUCGGCUUUUCUUCACCCUCUGUACCAAUAGUAGAGCCUAACUGUAAACUCGAGGUUGUUCCAGAAAAGAUACAGGCUGUUUGGCACCAGAUUGCCCUUUCCGAAGGGACGACCACUCAUGAAAAAGAACAGAUGGCAAAGCCAGUGAUGGCGGGGGGGCUCUGUCCAUCGCCGUCCUUCGUGCUCCCCGGGCCGUUCAGGACCCUCCCCUCCAACGCUGCCUUCUGUGUGUCUUGGAGCUUUGUUGGGGUGUCACAGGGCCGGAUCUAGCGAAAGGGGGCUUCUUGAACAAAUUGUUUCUCCCCGUGUUUCCAACUUCACACUGUGUCGGGCUCAGGUCAGUGGGGUUGCCUCACUCUUUGUGUUGUAGUUACAAGCUUAUCAUGGGAAGUGCUUCCAGAAGGUACCUUGUUCUAUUAAGGAGGCUGGAGCCAUGCUGCCCAAGUCUCGUUUGGGCAGCAAAAGCUUCUGACAAAUUGCUCUGCGCCCCCCUCCCUAGUGUUGCUUUCACGGGACUGUUCUUUCUAAACCCCAGCCUGCCACAGAGUCGCAGCUGUGGGGGCCUGUCGUCCACCCCCCAACCCGGGACAGGCGGCAGGAGGCUGAGCACUGUGGGCUGUGUGUGUCAUCCUUCGCCACUGUCAGGACACACUUGGGACGUUUUUCUCAAGUCGCACAAAUUGUUCCAAUUAAACAGCAAUUUCUGACAGGAUCAGGAGACCCGUAGCAGAAGCAGCUGAUAGCAUCACAAAAAUCUUUUCUGGGACAACAAUUAAAUCAUGUAUUUGUAUUUUUUUUAAGUUUACAAAUGAAUUGUACAACAAUGUAAAAAUAAAGUUCAUCCUAAUAUGAUGUGCA